UGCCACAUCCAUAUCACCUUGCAACUCAAGACCGGUUACUCACUGAAGCUAAGCAGAGCUAAGCAGGGCUGAGCCUGGUCAGUACCUGCAUGGGAGGCCAGCAGGGGGCCCUCAACCUGUGGUCU
This 125-nucleotide ribosomal RNA is filed under the name Danio rerio (zebrafish). The record is from RNAcentral. Lineage: Eukaryota; Metazoa; Chordata; Actinopteri; Cypriniformes; Danionidae.